This 253-nucleotide ribosomal RNA is filed under the name uncultured bacterium. Its description in RNAcentral is "partial 16S ribosomal RNA". It matches the Rfam family "Bacterial small subunit ribosomal RNA", at positions 524 to 776 of the family's 1533-position model. The record is from RNAcentral.
UACGGGGGGGGCAAGCGUUGUUCGGAAUUACUGGGCGUAAAGGGCGCGUAGGCGGCCUUCUAAGUCGGACGUGAAAUCCCUCGGCUUAACCGAGGAACUGCGUCCGAUACUGAAAGGCUUGAAUCCGGGAGAGGGAUGUGGAAUUCCAGGUGUAGCGGUGAAAUGCGUAGAUAUUGGGAAGAACACCAGUGGCGAAAGCGGACUUCUGGGUUGUUACUGACGCUGAGGUACGAAAGCGUGGGGAGCAAACGGG